This 384-nucleotide ribosomal RNA is filed under the name uncultured bacterium. RNAcentral's name for it is "bacterial SSU rRNA". It matches the Rfam family "Bacterial small subunit ribosomal RNA", at positions 28 to 414 of the family's 1533-position model. The record is from RNAcentral.
GACGAACGCUGGCGGCGUGCUUAACACAUGCAAGUCGAGCGGUAAGGCCCUUUCGGGGGUACACGAGCGGCGAACGGGUGAGUAACACGUGGGUGACCUGCCCUCAGCUCUGGGAUAAGCCUGGGAAACUGGGUCUAAUACUGGAUAUGACUCCACGGUGCAUGUCGUGGGGUGGAAAGCCUUGUGCGGCUGAGGAUGGGCCCGCGGCCUAUCAGCUUGUUGGNGGGGUGAUGGCCUACCAAGGCGACGACGGGUAGCCGGCCUGAGAGGGCGACCGGCCACACUGGGACUGAGACACGGCCCAGACUCCUACGGGAGGCAGCAGUGGGAAUCUUGCGCAAUGGGCGAAAGCCUGACGCAGCGACGCCGCGUGAGGGAUGACGG